RNAcentral lists this ribosomal RNA (301 nucleotides) under uncultured bacterium. Its description in RNAcentral is "partial 16S ribosomal RNA". It matches the Rfam family "Bacterial small subunit ribosomal RNA", at positions 509 to 809 of the family's 1533-position model. The record is from RNAcentral.
CAGUCGCCGCGGGAAUACGAAGGGGGCUAGCGUUGUUCGGAAUUACUGGGCGUAAAGCGCACGUAGGCGGACAUUUAAGUCAGGGGUGAAAUCCCGGGGCUCAACCCCGGAACUGCCUUUGAUACUGGGUGUCUAGAGUAUGGAAGAGGUGAGUGGAAUUCCGAGUGUAGAGGUGAAAUUCGUAGAUAUUCGGAGGAACACCAGUGGCGAAGGCGGCUCACUGGUCCAUUACUGACGCUGAGGUGCGAAAGCGUGGGGAGCAAACAGGAUUAGAGACCCGAGUAGUCCCUGUCUCUUAUAA